Molecule: ribosomal RNA, 277 nt
Filed under: uncultured bacterium
Lineage: Bacteria
Description: partial 16S ribosomal RNA
Rfam family: Bacterial small subunit ribosomal RNA
Source: RNAcentral
GACGAACGCUGGCGGCGUGCUUAACACAUGCAAGUCGAGCGGAAAGGCCCUUCGGGGUACUCGAGCGGCGAACGGGUGAGUAACACGUGAGCAAUCUGCCCUUGGCUCUGGGAUAGCUCCGGGAAACCGGAAUUAAUACCGGAUAUGACUUCCUCCUGCAUGGGGGGUGGUGGAAAGGUUUUCCGGCCAGGGAUGAGCUCGCGGCCUAUCAGCUUGUUGGUGGGGUGAUGGCCUACCAAGGCGACGACGGGUAGCCGGCCUGAGAGGGCGACCGGCC